CUGGCUGUUCUCCCUUGUCAAAAGAAUGACUCUGAAUUCGAAAUAGGGGUAUUUAUAGGUGAGGAGCACGUCAUAAACAGGCCCAAGUCCAGCGUGCUACUGCCGGGCGGUUUAAGUGUGCCGCCUGGCGAUUUCCCCUAACCUACUGCCACCGCCUCGCGGCAAUCGCCACCGCCCGGCGACAAUCGCUGGCGCCCGGCGGUUUCCCUCACUGUCAAUUUCCAUGCCUACUCCUCGUCCUGGACCGC
This 248-nucleotide long non-coding RNA is filed under the name Vigna radiata. RNAcentral describes it as "long non-coding RNA (VRAD_LNC009895)". The record is from RNAcentral. Lineage: Eukaryota; Viridiplantae; Streptophyta; Magnoliopsida; Fabales; Fabaceae.